Leptopilina boulardi is the source of this 833-nucleotide long non-coding RNA. RefSeq lists it as uncharacterized. The record is from RefSeq and is a predicted model, not a curated record. The transcript is spliced from 4 exons. Lineage: Eukaryota; Metazoa; Arthropoda; Insecta; Hymenoptera; Figitidae.
AGUUACGCUCCUAUCCUGGCGGAUUAAUACAAGACCGAAAAGUAGACCCCGGUGCGGGUGAGCGGAGAGGGGACGAACGAAGAAGCGUGCCGGCAAUUAGGACCUUAAUAGCUCUCUUUCAAUUUGGUGGUCAUCGGCAGUAGUCGUGUUGUAUUUGCUAUCUUAGUUAAAUUUUAUUUGAAAGAAGUAAAAGUGCAUUAAAUCGACGUUGAGUUGGAUAUUCAACAGCAACAAAAGGAUAUGAAAAAGUCCGUUACAACAUAUACCUGUAUUAGACACUCAGAAUAACUACCACAAACAAUACCAACCCUUGGAGAAUAGACCCUUUGUUAAUGAGGAUUAACUCUGAGGACAUAGUUAAUCAUUUCUUUCUCCCUUUAUCACAUGGAAAGCUAUAGAGAAAGUCUAAAACUGAAGAGGUAUCGCCUCAGGAAAAGAAGAGUGCUGGAGUGGGAUUACAAAUAGCGACAGCGCUACGAAGAUUUCGCUACGUAGCGAUUCAAAGCUACAUUCACUUUAAAAAAUUUUCCAGCUAUCGGGAGACUUAAAAAAAUGGAAUCAUUUUGAUAGAUUUAGAAUCAAGAAUGUAUCAUAUUCAUAAGGAUUUCCCACGAUGAAGAAAUGAAGCAAUUAAAAGAAGUAUCUAAAAGGCUGACAAAUUUUUCAAGUGUAACACUUCAAAUCACAAAAGUUAUAAAAAGGCAAUUCGAGGCAAUGAUAAUUAUUAAUAUUAUUAUAUUAACACUUUUAUUUUCAAUUUCUAUCCUUACAAAAAAUCAAGAAAAUAAUUCACCUUUAUCCAAUAAUAAUAAACUAUUUAAUUUUCUUUUCUA